RNAcentral lists this ribosomal RNA (466 nucleotides) under uncultured bacterium. Its description in RNAcentral is "partial 16S ribosomal RNA". It matches the Rfam family "Bacterial small subunit ribosomal RNA", at positions 28 to 507 of the family's 1533-position model. The record is from RNAcentral.
GAUGAACGCUGGCGGCGUGCUUAACACAUGCAAGUCGAACGAUGAAGCUCAGCUUGCUGGGUGGAUUAGUGGCGAACGGGUGAGUAACACGUGAGUAACCUGCCCUUAACUCUGGGAUAAGCCUGGGAAACUAGGUCUAAUACCGGAUAGGAGCGCCUACCGCAUGGUGGGUGUUGGAGAAAUUUAUCGGUUUUGGAUGGACUCGCGGCCUAUCAGCUUGUUGGUGGGGUAAUGGCUCACCAAGGCGACGACGGGUAGCCGGCCUGAGAGGGUGACCGGCCACACUGGGACUGAGACACGGCCCAGACUCCUACGGGAGGCAGCGGUGGGGAAUAUUGCACAAUGGGCGAAAGCCUGAUGCAGCGACGCCGCGUGAGGGAUGACGGCCUUCGGGUUGUAAACCUCUUUCAGUAGGGAAGAAGCGAAAGUGACGGUACCUGCAGAAGAAGCACCGGCUAACUACGUG